CCUACGGGUGGCAGCAGUGGGGAAUAUUGGGCAAUGGAGGAAACUCUGACGCAGUAACGCCGCGUGCAGGAUGAAGGUUUUCGGAUUGUAAACUUCUGUCGCGAGGGAUGAAGAAUGACGGUACCUCUUAAGAAAGCUCCGGCAAACUACGUGCCAGCAGCCGCGGUAAUACGUAGGGGGCGAGCGUUGUCCGGAAUUAUUGGGCGUAAAGGGUGUGUAGGCGGAAUAGUAAGUUAUGUGUGAAAUCCCUCGGCUUAACCGCGGAAUUGCACAUAAAACUAGUACGCUGGAGUGCUGGAGAGGAAAGUGGAAUUCCCGGUGUAGCGGUGGAAUGCGUAGAUAUCAGGAGGAACACCAGAGGCGAAGGCGACUUACUGGACUGUAACUGACGCUGAGGCACGAAAGCGUGGGGAGCAAACAGGAUUAGAUACCCGAGUAGUC
This 441-nucleotide ribosomal RNA is filed under the name uncultured bacterium. RNAcentral describes it as "partial 16S ribosomal RNA". It matches the Rfam family "Bacterial small subunit ribosomal RNA", at positions 338 to 795 of the family's 1533-position model. The record is from RNAcentral.